UACGGGGGGGGCAAGCGUCGUUCGGAAUUACUGGGCGUAAAGGGCUCGUAGGUGGCCAACUAAGUCAGACGUGAAAUCCCUCGGCUUAACCGGGGAACUGCGUCUGAUACUGGAUGGCUGGAGUAUGGGAGAGGAAUGCGGAAUUCCAGGUGUAGCGGUGAAAUGCGUAGAUAUCUGGAGGAACACCGGUGGCGAAGGCGGCAUUCUGGACCAUUACUGACGCUGAGGAGCGAAAGCCAGGGGAGCAAACGGG
This 253-nucleotide ribosomal RNA is filed under the name uncultured bacterium. RNAcentral describes it as "partial 16S ribosomal RNA". It matches the Rfam family "Bacterial small subunit ribosomal RNA", at positions 524 to 776 of the family's 1533-position model. The record is from RNAcentral.